This is a long non-coding RNA of Malus domestica (apple), 485 nucleotides long. RefSeq lists it as uncharacterized. The record is from RefSeq and is a predicted model, not a curated record. NCBI's taxonomy places the organism in Eukaryota, Viridiplantae, Streptophyta, Magnoliopsida, Rosales, Rosaceae.
AAUCACACACUAAAAUCAAAAUCUCUCAAAUCUAUUUCCCAAUCCUUCUUCAAAGUUUAAAAAAUAUCCGAAUUAAAUAUAACCAAAUAUUCAGAUUUCUCGCAUUUCUUAGAAAAAGGGCUUCGGAGCCGCUCUGCGGUUUCGUUCCGGAACCCUAGAAUUUGCGUGUCGCUGUAAUUUUUCUGAAUUAUUGGGAUUUUGGUUUGAUGGAAUUUUAGUACAAGUGAAAAUUGCGAAUUUUAAAAAAAAUUAAUAUUCUGCCUCACCACCACCCACUUCCAGUUCCACCAAGAAAUCAAGAGGCAGACCACCUGGUUCUUCCAAGAAGCAUCAAUUGGAUGCUUUGGGGCACUCCUUUUCUUAACUUGCAAUAAAGAGAAAAAGAAAAGGAAGUUAAGAAGAGAAAGGGGAAGUUGUAAAUUCUAGAAGUUGAAGUUGUUGAAUCUGAUCAAGCUUCCAUAACUGGCGCUGGCGUAAGCAGAGAG